RNAcentral lists this ribosomal RNA (479 nucleotides) under uncultured bacterium. RNAcentral's name for it is "partial 16S ribosomal RNA". It matches the Rfam family "Bacterial small subunit ribosomal RNA", at positions 28 to 507 of the family's 1533-position model. The record is from RNAcentral.
GAUGAACGCUAGCGGGAGGCCUAACACAUGCAAGCCGAGCGGUAGAGUCUCUUCGGAGACUUGAGAGCGGCGCACGGGUGCGGAACACGUGUGCAACCUGCCUUUAUCUGGGGGAUAGCCUUUCGAAAGGAAGAUUAAUACCCCAUAAUAUACUGGAUGGCAUCAUCUGGUAUUGAAAACUCCGGUGGAUAGAGAUGGGCACGCGCAAGAUUAGAUAGUUGGUGAGGUAACGGCUCACCAAGUCAGCGAUCUUUAGGGGGCCUGAGAGGGUGAUCCCCCACACUGGUACUGAGACACGGACCAGACUCCUACGGGAGGCAGCAGUGAGGAAUAUUGGACAAUGGGUGAGAGCCUGAUCCAGCCAGCCCGCGUGAAGGACGACGGCCCUAUGGGUUGUAAACUUCUUUUGUAUAGGGAUAAACCUAGAUACGUGUAUCUAGCUGAAGGUACUAUACAAAUAAGCACCGGCUAACUCCGUG